Molecule: non-coding RNA, 133 nt
Organism: Hydnum rufescens UP504
Lineage: Eukaryota; Fungi; Basidiomycota; Agaricomycetes; Cantharellales; Hydnaceae
Source: the annotation of a GenBank genome assembly
GGUGGGAUAGCUCAGUUGAUAGAGUCUCUGUUGAUAGAGGCUCAGUUGAUAGAGCCUUGGUUGAUAGAGUCUUGGUUGAUAGAGUGCCUGGUGAGAAGGCAGGAGGUCCUAGGUUCAAAUCCUGGAUCCACCA